Rosa chinensis is the source of this 1327-nucleotide long non-coding RNA. RefSeq lists it as uncharacterized. The record is from RefSeq and is a predicted model, not a curated record. The transcript has 3 exons. NCBI's taxonomy places the organism in Eukaryota, Viridiplantae, Streptophyta, Magnoliopsida, Rosales, Rosaceae.
CACAUCUACUAGAGUUUACAGGAUAUAAGGCUGCAUCAAAAAGUUAAAUGGAGCAGAGGAUGUACAGGCUAGGUGUUGCUUUGUUACAUUGAUCUGACAUGUCUACCUUGGAAAUUGGGGUGCUUGAUAUAGCUCAAGAUGAGUUCUUAUGCAGGUACUAUGGAUAUCUGAUGGAGAAGACAAGCACCAUUCAGAAACUAGCAUAUCAGGUUUGAAAGGAGCACAACAAAGAAUCAAAGAUAAUUGUGAAGUGCAGAUGAAGCUGGAAAUACUUGUGCAUUACCCUUUUAAUUGCAAACAAAUAUAUGGACAAAUUUAGGCUCCUCUGAUGAUUCUUUGUCCAUUUAACCAUAGAAGCAGAGGAAUCUCAGUCAUCUUGUUUUGGCUGUUUGAUUUUUGGUCCAACAAAGAACUGCAACAGUUCUAUAACACACAGAUAAGUCAAGCAUGUUCAAUCUGUAGCAUGCAUGUAUGCUCCAGUAGCUAACAUCGUGUUGCAAUGCACAUAAUUUAUUACCCAGCUCUACUGGAGCAUAUAUACCAAAGCUGCACACACUUUUUUCCGUUGGCCUGAAAGGAAGAAAAUAAAAGAAGGAUGUGCAGCUUUGGUAUAGAAGAAUGGGCAGGUUCACUGGUUUAGUAUAUACCAAAGCUGCACAUCCUUUGAAUUACACAAAAUCAGUGAGUACUUCAGAAGAUGUGAGUUUUAAGAUGUUCUCCAAGCCUUUUCAGUUUUUCUUUUGUGCCAAGCUCCUUUCAAUAAGGCUUUGCAGAUUUGCAAUUUUGGUUUUUUUCCUUUAUUGAAAGAAAAUGCCUUUUAGUAUGGGUCAAUAUGGAAAUCACAGUGACAGUUCAAUUGAACCUUUUUCUUGACAAAUUUAUUUUUUCUUCCCAGCCCCCUGUUUUAAUGAAUUAGAUUGUUUUCUCCUAGAUCAUAUUAGUUUCUUGGCCAACAUUCAGAUUUUUGGAAUCUCCACACGACAUUACGUAUUUGCAAAAUGACAACAACACUACAUCAGCAUGAAGUCUGAACAACCCAUCCAUUAAAAGUUCAGGAUGAUCUAUAGAUUCAUCGACUUUGGUUCAGUUUCAUUCAACAAAUGUAGUUUUCACAUGUGAAGUGUACUAAUGGCUUCAAUUUGAGUUGAAUUGUCGAGAUAUAUGGUUGUUCGACACUGUUUGAGAGGAUCAACUUUAAACACAUUUACUACAAAGCUGACUUUGUGGCAAAUUCAGUCGCAAGUUUGGGUUGUUGUCAUGAUGUGGAGAAAGUCUGGAUGCAUUCUCUCUAGUACGAUCUGUGAACAGUAAAUGCCUUGUAGUCCUG